RNAcentral lists this ribosomal RNA (506 nucleotides) under uncultured bacterium. RNAcentral's name for it is "partial 16S ribosomal RNA". It matches the Rfam family "Bacterial small subunit ribosomal RNA", at positions 28 to 523 of the family's 1533-position model. The record is from RNAcentral.
GAUGAACGCUAGCUACAGGCUUAACACAUGCAAGUCGAGGGGUAACGAGAGGAAAGCUUGCUUUCCUUGUCGACGACCGGCGCACGGGUGAGUAACGCGUAUCCAACCUGCCCCCAACUAGGGAAUAACCUUGCGAAAGUAAGACUAAUACCCUAUAAUUUCCUCAGAUGUCAUCUGACGAGGAAUAAAGAUUUAUCGGUUGUGGAUGGGGAUGCGUCUGAUUAGCUUGUUGGCGGGGUAACGGCCCACCAAGGCAACGAUCAGUAGGGGUUCUGAGAGGAAGGUCCCCCACAGUGGAACUGGGACACGGUCCAAACUCCUACGGGAGGCAGCAGUGAGGAAUAUUGGUCAAUGGGCGGAAGCCUGAACCAGCCAAGUAGCGUGCAGGAUGACGGCCCUAUGGGUUGUAAACUGCUUUUAUAAGGGAAUAAAGUGAGUCUCGUGAGACUUUUUGCAUGUACCUUAUGAAUAAGGACCGGCUAAUUCCGUGCCAGCAGCCGCCGUAA